AUGGUUCAAACAAAGGAACACACAUCUUUCCAGUUGGUAUAUCGCCUCAUUGAGUUGGCGUUGAUUCUUCCUAUGGCAACUGCACCAGUUAAGUGAAUAUUUUCGGCAAUGAAGAUCAUCAAGACAGAUUUGCGUAAUGAGGUAUCAAAUGAAUGGCUAAAUAGAUUAAUGGUGUGCUACUUUGAGAAAGAGAUAUUUAGAAGCAUUCAUGAUGAUCAAAUCAUGAUACAAUUCCAGAAAUUAAGGCGUGAAGGACAUUUGCCUCAUGAGUUCAAUGUUAUUUCUUAG
RNAcentral lists this ribosomal RNA (288 nucleotides) under Triticum aestivum (bread wheat). RNAcentral's name for it is "partial small subunit ribosomal RNA". The record is from RNAcentral. Lineage: Eukaryota; Viridiplantae; Streptophyta; Magnoliopsida; Poales; Poaceae.